This 287-nucleotide signal recognition particle RNA is filed under the name Falco tinnunculus (common kestrel). RNAcentral describes it as "Metazoan signal recognition particle RNA (ENSFTIG00000010222.1)". It matches the Rfam family "Metazoan signal recognition particle RNA". From Rfam's summary of the family: The signal recognition particle (SRP) is a universally conserved ribonucleoprotein. It is involved in the co-translational targeting of proteins to membranes. Lineage: Eukaryota; Metazoa; Chordata; Aves; Falconiformes; Falconidae. The record is from Rfam by way of RNAcentral.
GCCGGGCACGGUGGCUUGUGCCUGUAAUCCAAGCGCCUGGGGUGGCUGAGGCUGGUGGAUGGCUUGAGCCUGGGAGCUCAGCGUUGGAGCAAACUGUGCCGAGCGGGUGUCAGCGCUAAGGCUGGCAUCGAUAUGGUGGUCCUAGGGGAGCCGGGGGCCACCAGGUCGCCUGAGGAGGGGUGAACCGGCCCAGGUUGGAGACGGAGCAGGUCGAAGCUCCCGUGCCGGUCAGUAGCGGGAUGGCACCUGUAGCACAGCCUGGGUGAGAGGGCGGGACCCAGUUUCCU